RNAcentral lists this ribosomal RNA (482 nucleotides) under uncultured bacterium. RNAcentral's name for it is "partial 16S ribosomal RNA". It matches the Rfam family "Bacterial small subunit ribosomal RNA", at positions 28 to 523 of the family's 1533-position model. The record is from RNAcentral.
GACGAACGCUGGCGGCGUGCUUAACACAUGCAAGUCGAACGAUGAAACCUAGCUUGCUAGGUCGAUUAGUGGCGAACGGGUGAGUAACACGUGACUAACCUGCCCCUUUCUCUGGGAUAACGCUCCGAAAGGAGUGCUAAUACCGGAUACUCACACCGAGGCACAUGCCUUGGUGUGGAAAGUUUUUCGGAAAGGGAUGGAGUCGCGGCCUAUCAGCUUGUUGGGGAGGUAACGGCUCACCAAGGCGACGACGGGUAGCCGGCCUGAGAGGGCGAACGGCCACACUGGGACGGGGACACGGCCCAGACUCCUACGGGAGGCAGCAGUGGGGAAUAUUGCACAAUGGGCGCAAGCCUGAUGCAGCGACGCCGCGUGAGGGAUGAAGGUCUUCGGAUUGUAAACCCCUUUCAGUAGGGACGAAGCGAAAGUGACGGUACCUAAAGAAGAAGCACCGGCUAACUACGUGCCAGCAGCCGCAGUAA